AGGAUUAUAGCUUAAUAAAACAUUUGAUUUGCAUUCAAAAAAUAUUAAUUAAUUUUAAUUUAUCUUA
This 67-nucleotide transfer RNA is filed under the name Gynaephora qinghaiensis. RNAcentral describes it as "tRNA-Ala". It matches the Rfam family "tRNA". Rfam says of the family: Transfer RNA (tRNA) molecules are approximately 80 nucleotides in length. Their secondary structure includes four short double-helical elements and three loops (D, anti-codon, and T loops). Further hydrogen bonds mediate the characteristic L-shaped molecular structure. tRNAs have two regions of fundamental functional importance: the anti-codon, which is responsible for specific mRNA codon recognition, and the 3' end, to which the tRNAs corresponding amino acid is attached (by aminoacyl-tRNA synthetases). tRNAs cope with the degeneracy of the genetic code in two manners: having more than one tRNA (with a specific anti-codon) for a particular amino acid; and 'wobble' base-pairing, i.e. permitting non-standard base-pairing at the 3rd anti-codon position. The record is from RNAcentral. Lineage: Eukaryota; Metazoa; Arthropoda; Insecta; Lepidoptera; Erebidae.